This 86-nucleotide transfer RNA is filed under the name Kitasatospora indigofera. RNAcentral describes it as "tRNA-Pro". Lineage: Bacteria; Bacillati; Actinomycetota; Actinomycetes; Kitasatosporales; Streptomycetaceae. The record is from RNAcentral.
AGCAGGUAGUCGAGACGGUCCUUGGCGCCGGGGGCGUCGGGGUCGAGGAAGCCGGUGGCCGCCUCGGGGUUCUUCCCCAUCUGCUU